AAUGAGCACCUAGGAAAAAAAGGCCAUAUGCAGAUAAUGACGAACCAUAAGACUGAAUUACCUCGGAUGCUUGUGCCCACAAGAAAUCGCGGAGCCACCUAUUAAUAGUAAUAGAACUUUACGCAAAGUUUCCUCCCGUGAUAUGAGUUACUACCCCUUGAUCACUUACACUGCCCCAAACAUCUGACUGCAUUUUCCAACUGAAAUGGAAUAUUACUACCGAAAUUGCAUUGUACAUCCAGAAUAGUCUUAAGAAGACAUGAUCCCAGGCCGAUACUUGAUAUGUACCCCCUCUUCCAGGUCCAUCACAAGGAAAACGAAAACCAAAAUUUACUUUAUCCGGUAUCAAACGGGAACUGCGAGCAAAUAGAACACCUUUCAAGUGUAUCAAUAUCUUCACAUGAAUCGUAAAUGCAUGAAUGUGAUGUACCAAAAAAUCCGCGGUUCCUAAUGGAAUAGGCAACAAAGCCACCUUGCCACCCACUGCCACUAAAUCACCACCCCCUCCCCAAGUUAAACUGGUACUUGCUGUUGCACCAGGAGCCGUAUUUAGUUACAGUUGUAAUAUCUCUAGGAAACACAAGUUCAAAUAAUUUCCUAUGUAUAAAGGUUAUAAUAAAAAAACUAACAAAUACUAGAAAGCAGUAAAACUAUCAUUUAACAAGAAUAAGGAUUAGAACAAGAUUAAGGAGGUCUAGAGCUAUGAUUUUCCCAACUGUCGAAAUCCUUCCUGGUUUGUCUUUUAUAAUUUCGCCUAAGUAUCUCUAUUGAUCGUGGGUACUUCGGGUGUCAUAGUUCUAUUCCGAGCAACUACCACAAUUUACUAGACAUAUUCUUCCGGCCUACGCUAGCUGGCAUUAGUUUACCUCUCACUAAGAUCGCAUCAAUGUUUCGUUAUUCAUAAUCCCACCUUUAAACCUUUCGUAUUGAUUCAUCAAAUACGUUAGUAGUAAUGUUGUUCAACAUCUACCUAAAUAUGUAUCAAUUUCCAAGCAAUACAUACUAAAUAGGCACAAUCAAUUGAUGGUCAUUCAAUCAAAAACAAUAAACACGUAGUUGAAUAAAUAGAGAAACCUAAUGGCUCAAUUAUAUAAAAGCAUAAUAAGAGUUUAUCCUACAAAAGGUUUUAUCAAAAUUCUAGAUAACAAAUUAGAUAUUCAUAAUAGUAUGCAUAACUACAGUAAUAGAAUUCAUAACCAAAAAAUAGAAAUAGAAAGAAGGAACUGAAAAACUCGUAGAAGAAUUCUCCACCUUGCUCUGAGUUUGUUCUUGCCUCUUUAGGUUUAAAUUUUCAUAAAAAUAGUGUUUAAUAACUAUUUAUACACGUAGGGAAAAGAUUUAGAUGAAAUAAUCAAUUUCAAAAAAAAAAAGACAAAAUAGGCUUUAAACCCCGAAACACGCAUCAAAUCGCGGCAGACCGAGUCUAGCGAGCUCAAACAUAAGCUCCAUCUCGUUGUAGCCCUCGCGUCGCCUGCUCUAACGAGAGUUAAAUAGCUCACUACGCCUGCUGCUUCGUUUCUCAUUCUUCAAUUUCAAUAUGGAGGUCUUUUGUUAGUGCUAGUUGCCUAACACUCCCACUUCUUUCUUUUGCUUUCCAAUUUCAUCUUACAUCAAUUUUCACACAUUAUCCUUGAAUAAAUUUAUCUUCAAUCAUUAUCCAAUCAUGAUAUCAUAAUAUUUUCUAUCGUUAAAUAAUCACAAGCCAUUCUUGUAGUGCAUAAGUUAGACAUAAAAUCUUUACUUUGAUUUCAAUUUCAUCUUCAAUGUACUUACACAUAAAAUAAAUUCAAUUAAGUAUAAAUAUAGUAUAAUUUAGCAUUAAAACACCUAAAUGUAAAGUAAGUAAUAUACUAAAAAUAUAUAAUUAUUGCCAAACAUCACCACCCUACACUUAAACGUUGCUUGUCUUCGAGUCAACCAACAAUUCACCACUAUAGAGACACACUACACCAAUAAUUAUAGUUGAUAUCAACAAUUAAGCUAGAGCAGAUGCCUACAACGCUUCCCUUUACUCUAUGCCAUACUUUAAAAAUUUAUUCAGCAAUAAGACAACUUGCUUAUAACUGUCAUAGCCUCACAAAACGACUCAAUGUCACAAUGCACUCAAUAGCUUGAACACUCAACAUCGUAGAGAAAUCUAAUAACGUCACAUAUCCUUUGUGAAACCAUGUACCCUCAAAACAAGAGCAAGAGGGUAAGUUGAAUCCACACAUUUACUUGUGGGAUUUUAGUGGGUAGGUUGUUGUUGUUGUUGUUUGGUGUAUCCUUUUACUAAACAAGUGCACAUUUCUUCUUUUCAUUGGUUCCACUCAAAAGUCACCCCACACUUAGUCUCUUCUUACUCCUUUGGGCGCUCAUCUCACAAAUAAAGUGUUUAAGAGGUAAAUGAUCAAAAUAGUAUCACUUAAGAAUAAAAAGAGUUAGAUUUGUAAUGUGAAUGCCAAAUAAAAAUCUGUAGGCUCAAAUGAGUUAACUAGCGAUAGAUUUUAUUUGUGACGGUGAUAAUGCUCAAAAAAUCAAAGAAAUAUUAAAAUUAUUUUUUAAACUGAGCAUCACCUCAAAUUUUACUUCAACUCACAUACCAAGCAAGUUCUAGACACAAGUACAAUGACAUGAACUACACAAAAAAUCUUACCACAAAUGGCACAUGAUUCACUAAGGGCUUUUAUCUCAUUCAGACUCUCAACUAAUGCAAGUAUUCACAAAGCCACGAAUUAUUAAGCAUUAAGCAUAAAGUGAGAAAUCGUUAAGAGAAUAAGACAUAUGCGUCAAUAACAUGCUAUACAAUUCAUCACAACAUGAUAAAUUUUAACACAAAGGUACGUUACUACACAUGCCAAAGACCAAAAUUAUCAAACAAGUCAAAGGCACCAGGAAUCUCAUCUUUCUUCCCUCAUUUAUUUUAUAAAUUCUAAUCUACUCUAAAAUAAUAAAAAAUUAAAGAAAAAACUAUUACUCAGUUCAAACUACAUCUGAUGAAAAAAAUUGAGGCACAAAGAAAAAUCAAAGGAGAUCAUUACUACUUUAAAAAAACUAAAAGAUAUAUUUUUGGAUUUUUAUUUAGACUUUAAUCCCUCAAGAAAACUGCUUAGGAGAUCCAUAGUCGGGGCAAGUUUUAUUUUCUUAUUAUUAUUUUCCAUAUUUAAAAAAUAAAAAAAUAAAUUAAGCUACAAAAAUAUUACACAACUAUGAAAACAAAUAUAAGAAGCUAAAAUCAAAAUAAGAAGUUAACAUUUUCAAACAUACUACUAAUUAUCUAGAGGAAUUCUUCCACUCCACACUUAAAGAAGUGAAAUGUCCCCACUGUAAAACUAAAGAAAAACAAUAAUAAGGGUAGACAAGAAACUCCCUGAAAAGGCCAAAAGAACGAAGCAAUAGUGGCUCGCGGGUACUUGGACUUCCCCUAUGCAUGGUUUUUUGUGUAGGUAUCUCACACUUAGUUCUCACCAUCUAACUUGCUUUUGCACUCUUCUAAUGUUUUUACCUCCUACGCUUAUAAUCCUACAAACCAAAAACAAACACUACAAUAAUAAUAAGAUAAAAAAAUAAAAAUAAAAAUAUGCAGUAAAGAUGGGUUGCCUCCCAACAAGCAUCUGAUUUAACGUCGCAGUACGAUUUGCACUACUUUUUGCCUCCACCUUGAACUUAUGAAUUGGACCCAAGUUUUGAUUCUGCUCUAUGAUCAUGCUCUUGGGGCGAUGCAAAUUGUUGCGAGCCAAAAAUGAAAUAAUUUUUUAUGCACUUUUUGGUUUUAAACUGAGGAGUGUCAUUUUGCCUUGACGGCCUUGAAAAUUUUAUAAUAUAGAGCUCAUCUACCACUUCAUUUGACUCUUGCAUUGGCUCAUACAGAUGAAUUUCCAUUUCACCAUAUGAAAAUAAUGUAGAGAAGUGUUUGGAAUGAGGUCCAACGCGCUCAAAUAUAUGAAUUCCAAGAUUUUUAAUCUCUUCAACACCACACUAGAGUCAACUAAACUUGUAUCUUCAACAUCCCUGGUUGAAUUUAAUAUUAUUUCUUCAACAUCGACAUCCUCAAAUUUUAGUUGGUUAGAUUGUUGGUUUUCUACUCUGACCUCCUCCAUUUUCACCUCAAUUUCAGCAUCUAUUUCAUGGUCUUCUUGGCUAUUAUCCACAAUAUUGGUUUGUUGAGCAUUAAAUGCCUCAAUUAGUUGACUCAUUUGUGCCUUCAGGUUGCGUAUAACAGCUUCUUGCCUUUGUAAGUGCAGUUAUUUCUCAUUAUUUUAUUCCACAAGGCACCUUAGCAUAUCAUUGAUCUCUUUCAAGUCAUCAUCCGUGGGUUCUUUGAUCCUAUUAACUUUAGAAGAAAAAGAAGAACCAUCAAAUUAAGGAGUUAGAGAAAGAUUGUCAACAAAAACAACCCAGUAUAAUCCCACUUAGUGGGGUCUGGGGAAGGUAGUAUGUACGCAGACCUUACCCCUACCAUGGGGUAGAGAGGCUGUUUCCAAAUAGACCCCUGGCAUCCUUCCCUACAAGCACUUCCUACCUUCCUCUUGGGGAGACUUGAACUCACAACCUCUCGGUUGGAAGUGGCGGUUGCUUACCAUCAGAGCAAAGAUUGUCACUACCCAGAUUUUCCACCCUUGAGAGUCGUUAUGGCGCAUACUCAUAGAAGCUAGGCAAGCCAUGGACUUAGAAAUCACUAACUCAUUUGUUUUAAAACUACUUGAAAAUUACAUUAGCAGGUGAUAAACAUGUAAAUAACAGCGGCAUUUUAGUUUAGCAGAAGUCUUAAAUAAAUAUAAACCCAAAACAUCUCGAAACAACACAUGUCUCUAACCAGAACCUAGUGUCACAACAUCCACGGACUACUAAGAGUACUACAUACAACAAUUUGAAGGAAAUAUAGUACUAUUUUUCUUGAAUACAUGAGAUAAUAGGAUAUAAAAUAAGAUAGAGGAGACGUCGGGCCUGCGGACGCCUGCAAGGCUACUUGGUGUCUUGAAGGACUGAAGGCUGGCUCCCGAACUACUGUCGCUAAUCAAAUGCUGCUCUGGUAUCUACACAGAGUGCAGAGUGUAGUAUCAGCGCAACCGACCCCAUAUGCUGGUAAGUGUCUGGCCUAACCCCGGCGAGGUAGUGAUGAGGCUAGGACCAGACUCCACAUAAAUCUGUGCAGUUAUAUGUAUAUACAGUGGAAAAUAGUCUGGAAUAACAAUUAAAGCUGGGAAGGGGAAACAUGCUUCAGGGGAUGACAGAUAAGAACAGAAUCUCAAGAGAAUUAUAAGGAAGACCAAAAUUUAACUUCUAACCUAUAUAAGGAGAAUAAAGACAGGGUUCACUUUCAAUUCACAUCUCAUUGCAGGCUGCAACCUGAUCUUAUUUCUCAUUUCUCGUGGUAGGCGUACCACCCGCUCCCAUUUCAAUAUAACUCGUGGUAGGCAUACCACCUGCAUCUAUUUCAUUAAACCUCAUGGAGCAUACCACCCGCUCCCAUUUUAUUAAAUCUCGUGGUAGGCGUACCACCCGCUCCCAUUUUAUUAAAUCUUGUGGUAGGCGUACCACGCGCUACCAUUUUAUUAAAUCUUGUGGUAGCCAUACCACCCGCUCCCAUUUCAUUAAAUCUUAUGGUAGGCGUGCCACCCACACCCAUUUCAAGCCAAUACAAAAUCACAAAGAAAUCCUGGCAAAGGAACAAGGUAAUAUAAUAACUUUUCGGCAAGGUAAAAAAGCAAUAUAAUAACUUCACGACAAGGGAACAAAGCAAUAUAAUAAAUUUCCGACAAGGGAAUAGCAAUAUUGAAACAAACAUCCCGGCAGGGGAGAAUCAUCUAUAACCAACCUUAACUCAACUUCUACUCAGCUCAAUUAACACCAAUACUUAGUCGUAAGUUAAUUCCAUGAAAAUAAACUAAAUCCUUGACCGAUAUCGAGAAUCACCAAUUAAAGCAACCGUAGAAUCAUUUAAGAACACAACAAUUAUCAAAUUAAGACUCACGGUCAUGCUCGACACCAAUGUAUAGAUACUCGUCACCAUGCCUAUACGUCGUACUCCAUAAGAAACAAUUAGCAAAUUGGACACAACUCCUAAUCCCUCAAGCUAAGGUUAGACCAGACACUUACCUCAAACUUUCACGGCUAACUCAAUCCUCAAACACCACUUUUCCUUUCAAAUUUGGCUCCAACCCAAUCGAAUCUAAACAUAAUCGAUUUAAAAAUAUCAAUAAUUACUAAAAAAAAAUCCAAUUCCAAUGCUUAAUUAUAGCUUUCUAAUUAUUAUUCCCAAAAAUCCAAAAAUCGAUCUGGGAUCCGCUUGGUAAAAACACACGGUUCAUACAAAAAUCAAAUCACUAAUUCACCCACAAGCCCAAAUAUAUAAUUAUUUCGCGAAUUCGACCUCAAAAUGAGGUCUAAAUCAUCAUUAAUCAAAAAGCCCUAGUUCUACCCAAAUUUCUAAUUUUCUACCCAUAAUCUCAUGUUUUAGGCAUAGAAAUCUUAUGGGUGAUGAUAGAAAUGGAAGAAAACAAGCUUAGGAUUACAUACCUAUAAAGUUAUGGUGAAUAAACUCUUCAAAAAUUACCCCAAGAGGUGUGGAGAAGAAGGAGUUAUGAAAUUUGUAAUAAUCCUGUAAGGCUACUAUUUUGGGUCUUUAAAAAUUACUGGCCAAAAAUGGUCUAUACGAUCAUGAAGAAUGUAGUGCGAUCACAUAGAGUAAGGAGAAAAUGGUCAUUGCAAUCGUAAAUAGAGCACUGCAAUCGCAUAGAAGAAACAUGCUAGGCAUUGCAAUCGCGAAUAGCACUAUGCGAUCGCAUAGAGGAAAAUAUAGGACCUCUCAGACUUAACAACAUAAGAUCGCAAGAGGAACUAUGCGAUCGCAUAGAACCAAACUGAACCCCUAAAAAUUACUCUAUGCGAUCGCGAUCCUACUUAUGCGAUCGCAUAGUACAAAUCACUGCACCAAAAGCUGCAAAAAAACCAAAUUUUUUCUAAGUUCAAAACACUCCGACACCUAUCCAAAACUCACCCGAGCCCUCGGGCUCCUAACCAAACAUACGAACUAACUCAAUAACAUCAUACAAACUUAUCUGUGUGAUAAAAUUGCUAAAAUAAUAUCAAUAUCAACAAAUUAAACCUCAAAAUCAAAGCAUUUUUCUCAAACUUCAUCAAGUAUCAAAUUUAGCAAUUCAAGUCCGAAUCACGUCAAACGACGUCCGUUUUUAACCAAAUUUUACAUGAGUGAUUUAAACCACAUAUAAGACCUGUACCGGACACUAGAACCAAAAUAUGGGCCCGAUACCAUCACUUUCUAAUCAGAUUUUAUUUUAGAUUUUCUUAAACAAUUUCAGAAAAUAAUUUCACUUAAAAAUUCAUUUCUCGGGCUUGUGGCAUUGAAAUUUGAUUCCGGACAUAUGCCCAAGUCUCAUAUUUUCCUACGUACCAUUCGGGACCGUCAAAUCACGGGUCUAGGUCCGUUUACCCAAAAUAUUGAUCGAAGUCAAAUUUACUUAUUUUAUAAUCAAAACUUAGCAUUUUUCAUAAAUUUUCAUAUUUAUGCUUUCCGGCUACACGCCCGGACUAUGCACGCAAAUUGAGAUAAUGAUAAAUGAGGUUUUUAAUGCCUCGAUGACACAAAAUUCAAUUAAAAUAGGUAAUGAUCCUUUGGGUCGCCACAUUCUCCACCUCUAAAAUAAUCGUUCGUCCUCGAACGGACAUAAGAAGGAAGUACCUGAGUCGAGAAAAAGAUGGGGAUAACGACUCCGCAUAUCGGACUCGGACUCCCAGGUUGAUGCCUCAGCAGGCUAACCUCUCCUCUAAACAUGAACAGAAGGAAAGCUCUUCGAUCUCAACUGACGAAUUUUCCAGCUAGAAUAGCUACCAACUCCUCCUCAUAAGACAAGUCCUUGUCCAACUGGACAGUGUUGAAAUCUAACACAUGGAAUGGAUCGCCGUGAUGCUUGUGAAGCAUGAACACAUGAAACACUAGAUGCACAACUGAUAAGGUAGGCGGUAAUGCAAGUCUAUAAGCCAUAUCUCCCACUCGAUCAAUAAUCUCAAUUGACCAACGAACCUAGGGCUAAGCUUUCCCUUCUUCCCAAAUCUCAUCAUGCCCUUCAAAGGCGACACUCGGAACAAUACCCACUCACUAAUCAUAAAAGCUACAUCUCAAACCUUGUGGUAUGCAUAACUCUUUUUCCUGGACUGAGCUAUACGAAGCCUAUCCUGAAUGAUCCUGACCUUUUCCAAGGCCUCCUGAACCAGAUCUGUACCCAGCAACCGAGCCUCCCCGGGCUCAAAUCAUCCAACCGAAGAUCGACACCGCCUACCAUAUAAAACCUCAUAAAGAUCCAUCUGGAUACUCGACUGGUAGUUGUUGUUGUUGGCAAACUCUGCUAAAGGAAAAUAUUGAUCUCACGAGCCUCCAAAGUCAAUGACACAAUCCCCGAGCAUAUCCUCUAAAAUAUGAAUAGUUCGCUCAGACUGCCCGUCCGUCUAGGGAUGAAAUGUUGUGCUCAACUCAACCUGUAUGCUCAAUUCUCGCUAAACUGCUCUUCAAAACCACGAGAUAAACUGCGUACCUUGGUACGAAAAAUAUGGGCACACCAUGAAGGCAAACAAUCUCCCGAAUAUAGAUCUCAGCCAACCUCUUAGAAGAAUAAGAGACUGCCACAGGAAUGAAAUGUGCUGACUUGGUCAGCCUAUCAACAAUGAGCCAUACUGCGUCGAGCUUCUUUCGAGUCUGCAGGAGUCUAGUAAUGAAGUCCAUAGUGAUCCGCUCCCAUUUCUACUGGGGAAGCUCAAUCUUCUAAAAUAAACCACCAGGCCUCUGAUGCUCGUACUUGACUUGCUGACAAUUCAAACACUAAGUCGUAUAUGCAACAAUAUCCUUCUUCAUUCUCCUCCACCAAUAAUGUUGCCACAAAUCCUGAUACAUUUUUGCGGCGCCCAGAUGAAUAGAGUACCAUGAGCUAUGGGCCUCCUCUAAAAUCAACUCUCGGAGCUCAUCCACAUUAGGCACACAUGCUCAACAAUGCAGUCUCAAAACUUCAUCAUCAUCUAAGGUAACCUUCCUAGCACCUCCGCGUUGCACCGUGUCUCUAAGGAUACACAAAUAAAGAUCAUCAUACUGCCGAUCACAAAUGUGCUCCAACAAUGAAGAAUGAUGACCGUGCAAGAUAACACACGACUAGGCUAAAAACAUCUAGUCUCAUGAACUGAUUGGCCAAAACUUGAACAUCCAAAGCAAGCUGCCUCUCACCGACUCGAAUAUAAGCAAGAUUUCCCAUACUGGCUGACUUCCUACUCAAAGCAUCGGCCACCACAUUGGCCUUUCCCGGGUGAUAUAAGAUGGCGAUAUCAUAAUCCUUCAACAACUCCAACCACCUUCUCUGCCUCAAAUUCAACUCUUUUGGUUGAACAAAUACUGAAGACUCUUAUGAUCUGUGAAUACCUCACAUGCCACGCCAUACUGAGAGUUCCUCCAAAUAUUCAAUGCAUUGUUGAUGGCUGCCAACUCUAUAUCAUGGACUGGAUAGUUCUUCUCAUGAACUUUCAACUGCCUCGAAGCAUAGGCAAUGACCUUGCCAUCCUGCAUCAACACUACACCAAGCCCAAUACGAGAAACAUCAAAAUAAACUGUAUAGGCCUUGAACCUAUGGGCAAAACCAACACUGGCGGUGUUGUCAGAGAUGUCUUGAGCUUCUGGCCUCACACUCAUCUGACCACCUGAACUGCACUUUUCUGGGUUAACCUAGUCAUCAGGGCUACAAUAGACGAAAACCUUCCCACGAACCGAUGAUAGUAGCCUGCCAACCCCAAGAAACUCCGAAUUUCUGUAGCUGAUGUUGGUCUAGGUCAGUUCUUGACCGCCUCAAUCUUCUUCGGAUUAACCUGAACACCCUCUGCUGACACAACAUGACCUAGAAAUACGACUGAACUCAACCAGAACUCACACUUCGAGAACUUGGCAUAUAACUCACUAUCCAUGAGAGUUUGAAGAACCACUCUAAGGUGAUGCUCGUGCUUCCCUUGAUUGCGAGAAUAUAUCAAGAUAUCAUAAAUUAAGACUAUCAUGAAUCCAAAUAAAGUCUAAAAACUCCAUCAAAUCCAUAAAAGUUGUUGGGGCAUUUUUCAACCCGAACGACAUAACAAAGAACUCAUAAUGCACGUAUUGAGUGCAGAUAGUUGUCUUAGGGACAUCAGAUACCUUAAUCCUCAACUGAUGGUAGCCAUAUCUCAACGCAAUCUUUGAAAAUACCCUGGUACCCAGAAGCUGAUCGAACAAAUCAUCAAUCCUCAACAACAAAUACUUAUUUUUGAUAGUAACCUUGUUCAAUCGCCGGUAAUCAAUACACAUUCUCAUUGACCCAUCCUUCUUUUUAACAAACAACAUUGCCGCACCCCAAGACAAAAUACUGGGUCUAAUGAAACCCUUCUCAAGCAAGUCUUGCAAUUUUGGCUUUAACACUUUCAACUCAGGCGGGUCCAUACGAUACGGUGGAAUAGAAAUGGGCUGAGUGCUCGGAGCCAUAUCAAUGUAAAAGUCAACAUCCCUGUCGGGCGGCAUACCUGGCAGGUUUGAAGGGAAAACAUCAAGAAACUCACGAACAACGAGAAUAGAGUCAAUAGAAGGGACCUCGAUACUAGAAUCACGAACAUAUGCCAAAUAGGUCAAACACCCCUUCUCGACCAUACACCGAGCCUUUACAUACGAGAUAACACUGCGGGUAGAAUGUCUAGGAGUCUAUCUCUACUCUAGACAAGGCAUACCCAGUAAAGCUAAGGUCACAAUCUUGGCAUGACAGUCCAAGAUAGCGUGGUAAGGUGAUAACCAGUCCAUCCCCAAUAUAACAUCGAAAUCGACCAUGUCUAGAAUCAAUAAUUACACACGAGCCUCAAGACCCUCAAUCACAACUACACAAGAACGAUAGACUCGAUCUACCAUAAUAAAAUCACCCAUUAGUGUAGACACACAAACAUGAACACUCAAUGAAUCACUGGGAAAAAUCAGAUACGGUGAAAAAUAAUAUGACACAUACGAAUAUGUAGACCCUGGAUCUAUAGUACAAAAGCACCUAUAUAACAAACCAAAAUAGUAUCUAUGAUAGGCGCAUCUAAAGUUUCAGCCUUAGGCCUGGGUGGAAGAGCAUAACAUCGGGGUUGUGCCCCACCACCCUGAACUACGUCCCUAGGACGACCUACUGCUGGUUGGCCUCCACCUUUAGGACCUCUGCCUCCACCUCUACCCCCACCUCUAGCUAGCUGGGAAGUCUUUGGAACACCUGGUGCCUGGACCAUAGCACAGGAACUCUGAUGCUAAGAUCUAGUUGGUGCACGAGGGCAAUAUCUAAAAAUAUGCCUCAUGUCACCACAAGUGAAACAAGCUCUCUGCUGCUGGGGCAAACGACCUUGGAAAUUUUGAAGCGGUGGUGCACUGAUAGGAGCUGGUGGUGCACUGAAGGACUACUGAUUAGAAUGCUGCAUUUGAGGACCACGGCUACCUGAAGCACCGUGAGAAACCUGAAGAGUUGACUGAAAGGGCCUAUGAGGAAGACCUCUACCAUAAGAACCUCUACCUCGAGACGAGGUACCACUGAACCUCCCUGGAUGAUGGGGACUCUUAUCCGCUCCAUGACCACCGCCCUUUGAUAGUACCAUCUCAACUCUCUAGGCCAUAUUGGCUGCCUUCCCAAUCUCUCUAGUCAUCUGGAGACGAAUCGGCUGAAUGAGUCCAUCAAUAAACUGAUUCACUCUCUCCCUCUCAGUGGGAAGUAUAAUAAGGGCAUGGCGGGAAAAAUAUUUGAAUCUAGUCUCGUACUGGGUGAUAGUCAUGGAUCCCUAUUGAAGGCGCUCGAACUGCCUCUAAUAGCCCUAUCGCUAAGUAAUUGGGAGAAACUUCUCCAGAAAUAGCCAUGUGAACUGCUCCCAAGUCAAAGAUGGUCCGGCUGGUCUAACCAAACAGAAAUCCUUCCACCAAGUCUUGACACAUCCGACAAGCGAAAUGUAGCAAAAUCGACCCCAUUGAUCUCAACAAUCCCCAUGUUUCAAAGAACCUCAUGAACUGUCCAUGCACCGCUGAUGGUAGUAGUGAACAGCUCGGUGAACGUGUCCAAUAUCCACAAAGCAUCGGCAGACAUGGCUGUACCAUUGCUGGUAUGCGCUAUCGCAACUAGUUGAACUUAAGCCUGUCAACCGGGCCGGGUCGGACCGGUUCCAGACCGGACCGGUUACUAAGGGGUCGGGUGGGUUGGGUUCAAGGGGGAGGGGGUUGGUUCGUUUGGGUUUCUUGGUGUUGGAACCGGACCGGACCGGUUUUAAUGAACAGUGCACUGAACCGGUUAGACCGGCCCGGUCCAACGAUAAUAUUUUUUUAAAAUUUUCUGAAUAUUUUGGGGCCCACAAGACCGUUGGCAAUGGUCAAUAUUGGUCCAGAUCCGUUGGCCAAUGGAUUUUUUUGCAAAAUUGGCCAUUUUUUGGUUAUUUUGUUGUAUUUAUUAAUUUACAAUAUUAACCCUUCUUAAAAUUUAUAAAUACCCUCCCACUCUUCUUCAUUUUUUCACUCAAAAUUCUUAUCUUAUCUCAAUUCUCAAUUUCUCAAUCUUCCCUUCAAUUUGCAAGAUUUCAUAUUCUAAUUUUAUAAUUUUUAUUUGGCUAUAUUUCUUGAGUUUAAUUUACCGAAAAAUUGUCAUUUGAAAAUUGAAAUUCGAAGUUUGAAGUUCAAAGUUACCCCUGUAAUUUGCAAGAUUUCAUAUUCUAAUUUAAUAAUUUUAUUUGUCUCUCUUUUCCCGAAUUUAAUUUAUCGCAGUUUGUCAUUCGAAAUUUGAAGCUUGAAGUUCAAAAUUGAAAUACUUGCUUGACAUUUGUUCGUNNNNNNNNNNNNNNNNNNNNNNNNNNNNNNNNNNNNNNNNNNNNNNNNNNNNNNNNNNNNNNNNNNNNNNNNNNNNNNNNNNNNNNNNNNNNNNNNNNNNNNCAAUUUAUUGUCGAAUUCGGUGCACUCCCUCCAACUCUUUCUCUUAUUUAAUAUUUUAAUUACAUAUUUAAUUUUAGCUUAUACUUUAAUUUUUACAAUUUGUUUAGUGCUGCUAAAAGAACGUGUAGAAAAGUUACUGGUAGGGGUGGAAAUAAAAAAAGAGGUAGUCCUGUUGCUUCCGAUAGUAAUAGUAAUGAACCAAUAACACAUGUUUCUAAAUCAUCGCCUAGUGAUAAUGUAGAGAUAGAUUAUGAACAAUUACAAGAAUAUUUUGGAAUAGAAGAUAAUGAAAUUGGAAUAGAUGAUGAGAUACCACCUACACCUACUACUGGAAAUAUUGGUAGUAUUGGAGUUGGAGUUGCUAGUGCUACAAGGGGUAGUAGACCACCAGUGGCUCCGACUUCUAAUGUAAAAGAAGAAGUCCGGUAUGGAAUUUUUUUGAAUUAAUAGAAGGUACUAAUAGAGUUAAGUGAAAACUUUGUAUCGAAAUUGGUAGUGUUGGAGUUGCUAGUGCUACAAGGGUAGUAGACCACCAGUGGCUCCGACUUUUUAUCGUAAAAGAAGAAGUCCGGCAUGGAAUUUUUUUGAAAUAAUAGAAGGUACUAAUAGAGUUAAGUGCAAACUUUGUAACGAAACUCGUAAAAGAAGAAGUCCGGUAUGAAAUUUUUUUAAAAUAAUAGAAGGUACUAAUAGAGUUAAGUGCAAACUUUGUAAAGAAACUUUUAAACAUUUGACCGGAGAAAAUUUAGGGGGGACUAGGACACUUACAAGACAUAUGAGAUCUGACCAUCCCAUAGAAUGGGCAAUAAUGGGGAUGAAAGUCAAACAACUAUUAACCCUACUACUGGAGGCCUAGUAAAAUAUGAUAAAAUGAGGGAUCGUGAGGAAUUAGCAAAAAUGAUUGCUUUGGGUUGUNNNNNNNNNNNNNNNNNNNNNNNNNNNNNNNNNNNNNNNNNNNNNNNNNNNNNNNNNNNNNNNNNNNNNNNNNNNNNNNNNNNNNNNNNNNNNNNNNNNNNNNNNNNNNNNNNNNNNNNNNNNNNNNNNNNNNNNNNNNNNNNNNNNNNNNNNNNNNNNNNNNNNNNNNNNNNNNNNNNNNNNNNNNNNNNNNNNNNNNNNNNNNNNNNNNNNNNNNNNNNNNNNNNNNNNNNNNNNNNNNNNNNNNNNNNNNNUGUCUGAUUGUCACCAAUUAAUGAAUGCUUUAUAUACUUAUAUGGAGAUUGGAGAAACUGAAACCCCAAAUUUAUAUGAUUCUAUGAACAAGCUAAAAGAAUAUUUACAACAACUAUAUAAUAUUAUGCAAAUGAAUGUGAUAAUACUGCUCGUGCUUCUGGCAAUGUUAAUCCCGCUAUACAAUAUAGCAGUUCUUCUAAUGUGGAUGAUGAAGGCCUUGAUAGUUUUAAUAUUUUUUCUACAUUUUCUAACACUCAAACCAGUAGCAGGAAUAUUGAUGAGCUUCAAUUCUACUUGCAGAAGCAAAAGGAGCCUCGCACAAAGGAAUUUUCACCUUUGGGAUGGUGACAUGAAAAUGAAAAGCAACUUCCUGUUCUUUUCGCUAUGGCUCGGGACGUGCUAAAUGUGCCAAUUUACACUGUUGCAUCGGAGAGUGCAUUUAGCCAAGCAAGACAACAACUUGGAGACACCCGUCACUCNNNNNNNNNNNNNNNNNNNNNNNNNNNNNNNNNNNNNNNNNNNNNNNNNNNNNNNNNNNNNNNNNNNNNNNNNNNNNNNNNNNNNNNNNNNNNNNNNNNNNNNNNNNNNNNNNNNNNNNNNNNNNNNNNNNNNNNNNNNNNNNNNNNNNNNNNNNNNNNNNNNNNNNNNNNNNNNNNNNNNNNNNNNNNNNNNNNNNNNNNNNNNNNNNNNNNNNNNNNNNNNNNNNNNNNNNNNNNNNNNNNNNNNNNNNNNNNNNNNNNNNNNNNNNNCAUUUGAAAUUACUACUUUACUAGUUUACUUGUUAGAAAAAAUGUAAACAUUUCAUUUUCUACUUUUCAAUUUGAAAUUAAGAAAUAAAGUAGCAUUUGUAAUAAGUGAAAUUUUUUCACAUCUUACUUGUAUUCGUUCAAUAAUACAAAAUAUAAAUUAAUAGUCAUACUACACAUAAUUCCAAAACAAAAAGUGAAAAUAUACUAAACCCGGCCCGGCCCCCUCAACCUGUAACCCGUAUGGUUCAAUUUUAACCCGAACAAACCUAGCCCGCUACGAACCCGUUACUAUGCAACCCGGACCGGCCCAUCCCGGAUCCCGGACGGGUCAAAAAAAUUGACCCGGACCGGCCCGGUUGGCCCGUUAGACAGGCUUAGUUUAACUUCCCAAACUGGCUGAGCCACUGGGGUCUGGAACUAGGGAGCUACCUGCUCCAGAGUGUGAGUAAUAGAAGUCUGAGCUCCUCCUCUAGCCUGAGAGAUGGCUGGUGCUAUAGGAAGUAAACAUGCCCCGGUGGCACUCUUCGUGAGGCUCACUAGAUGGACCAGAGCAUCCUGAAGAACUGGGUAGCAAUAAACACCUAUGGGGCAUGAAUUACGCCUAUUGGAACUGUCGGGGCUAGAAACUCGUCAUCAAAACCAACCUGAGGCUCCACUCUGCUACCCUGGGUUGAGCUCUGCCCGUUGUCUCGGCCUCUAGCACGACCUCGGCCUCGCCCUCUCCCUCGCCCUCUGCCCUCGUAGGUGCUAUUAUUGGGGGCUCAAGUUGCUGAUCGGUAGAUGAUGAAGCAAGUGUUCUCGCCACCUGCGAAAGAAUUGAGUAGAAAUUCAAUUAGCAUUCGGAAACCAAACCCCACGACAAGAAGGAACAAAUGCAAAUUUUUCCUAACUUUGUAGCCUCUAGGGGAUAAAUAUAGACGUCUUCGUACACCCUCAGAUUCUACUAAGCUUGUCCAUGAAUUGUGAGCCCUAUGCAACCUAAAGAUCUUAUACCAACUUGUCACGAACCAGAUUUUCCACCCCAGGAGUCGUGAUGACGUCUACUCGUAGGAGUUAGGCAAGUCAUGGACGUAGAAAUCAUUAACUCUUUUGUUUUAAAACUUCUUGAAAAUUACAUUAACAAGUGAUAAACAUGUAAAUAACAACUACAUGUGAGUUUAGCAAAAGUAUUGAAUAAAUAUAAACCUAAAUCAUCUCGAAUACCAAUAUAUGCCUCUAACCAGAACCUGGUGUCACAACAUUCACGUACUACUAAAAGUACUACAUACAACAGUUUGAAGGAACGAUAGUAUUGUUUGUCUUGAAUACAUGAGAUCACAUGAUAUAAAAUAAGAUAGAGAAGACAAUGGGCCUACGGAUGGCUGCAAGGCUACCUCGGUGUCUCGAUGGACUAAAGGCUGGCUCCCGAACUACUGCUGCUGAUCAAAUGUUGCUCUAAUAUCUGUACAGAGUGCAGAGUGUAGUAUCAGCGCAACCGACCCCAUGUGCUGGUAAGUGCCUGGCCUAACCCCAACGAAGUAGUGACGAGGCUAGGACCAGACUCCAAAUAAACAUGUGCAGUUAUAUGUAUGUACAACAGAAAAAUAGACUGGAAUAACAAUUAAAUUUGGGAAGGGGAAACAUGCUUUAGGGGAUGACAGAUAGAAUCAUAAUGUCACGAGAAUUAUAAGGAAGACCAAAAUUUAACUUCUAACACAGAUAAGGAGAAUAAAGACAGGGUUCAAUUCACAUCUCGUUGCAGACGUGCAACCCGAUCCCAUUUCUCAUAUCUCAUGGUAGGCGUACCUCCCGCUCCUAUUUCAAUAUAACUCUUGGUAGGCUUACCACCAGCUCCCAAUUUAUUAAAUCUCGUGGUAGGCAUACCACCCACUCUCAUUUUAUUAAAUCUUAUGGCAGGCGUACCACCCGCUCCUAUUUUAUUAAAUCUUGUGGUAGGCAUACCACCUGCUCCCAUUUUAUUAAAUAUUGUGGUAUGCGUACCACCCGCUCCCAUUUCAAGCUAAUACAAAAUGACAAAGAAAUCCUGGCAAAGGAACAUGACAAUAUAAUAACUUUCCGGCAAGGGAACAAAGCAAUAUAAUAACUUCCCGGCAAGGGAACAAAGAAAUAUAAUAAAAUCCCGACAAGCGAAUAACAAUAUCAAAACAAACAUCACGAAAAGGAAGAAUCAGCUAUAACAAACCUUAACUCAACCUCUACUCAGCUCAAUUAACACCAAUACUCAGUCAUAAGUUAAUUCCAUGAAAAUAAACUAAAUCCUUGCCUAAUAUCGAGAACCACCAAUUAAAACAACUGUAGAAUAAUUUAAUAACACAACAAUUAUAAAACUAAGACUCACGGUCAUGCUCGACACCAACAUAUAGAUACUUGUCACCAUGCCUAUACGUUGUACUCUACAAGAAAUAAUUAGCAAAUAGGACACAACUCUUAAUCCCUCAUGCUAAGGUUAGACCAGACACAUACCUCAAACUUUCACGGCCAACUCAAGCCUCAAACACCACUUUUCCUUUCAAAUUGGCUCCAACCAUCGAAUCUAUACAUAACAUAUUUAACAACAUCAAUAAUUGCUAAACAAUCCAAUUCCAAUGCUUAACAACUUUCUAAUUAUUCUUCCCAAAAAUUCAAAAAUCGACCCCAGGUCCGUUUUGUCAAAAUACGAGGUUCGGACAAAAAUCAAAUCACCCAUUCACCCACGAGCCCAAAUAUACAAUUAUUUUUGAAUUCGACCCCAAAGUAAGGUCUAAAUCAUCAUUAAUAAAAAAUCCCUAAUUCUACAUUUCUACUCAAAUCCCUAAUUUUCUACACUUAAUCUCAUAUUUUAAGCCUAAAAAUCUACCGGGUGAUGAUAGAAAUGGAAGAAAACAAGCUUAGGGUUACAUACAUAUGAAGCUACGGUGAAUAAACUCUUCAAAAAUUACCCAACAGGUGAGGAGAAGAAGAAGUUAUGAAAUUUUAUAAUAAUCCCGUAAGGCAACUAUUUUGGGUCUUUAAAAAUAACUGGACAAAAAUGGUCUAUGUGAUUGCGAAGAAUAUAGUGAGAUCGCAUAGAGUAAGGGGAAAAUGGUCAUUGUGAUCGCGAACAGAGAACUGUGAUUGCAUAGAAGAAACAGGCUGGGCAUUGCGAUCGCGAAUAGCAUUAUGUGAUCGCAUAGAACUCUCAGACUUAACACUAUGCGAUCGCGGGAGGCACUAUAGGAUCGCAUAGAACAAAACUGAACCCCUGAAAAAUUAUUCUAUGCGAUCGCGAGCCUACUUACGAGAUCGCAUAGUACAAAUCACUGGACACCAAAAGCUGAAAAAAAAAUAGAUUUUUUCUAAGUUCAAAACACUCUGACACUUAUCCAAACUCACCCGAGCCCUCGGGCUCCUAACCAAACAUACGAACUAACUCAAUAACAUCAUACAAACUUAUCUGUGCUAUCAAAUUGCCAAAUGACAUCAUUAUUAACAAAUUAAACCUCAAAAUCAAAGCAUUUUUCUCAAACUUCAUCAAGUAUCAAAUUUAGCAAUUCAAGUCCGAAUCACGUCAAACGACGUCCGUUUUUAACCAAAUUUUACAUGAGUGAUUUAAACCACAUAUAAGACCUGUACCGGACACUAGAACCAAAAUAUGGGCCCGAUACCAUCACUUUCUAAUCAGAUUUUAUUUUAGAUUUUCUUAAACUGAAUCACGUCAAACGACGUCCAUUUUUAACCAAAUUUUACAUGAGUGAAUUAAACCAUAUAUAAAACCUGUACCAGGUGCCGGAACCAAAAUACGGUCCUGAUACCAUCACUUUCUAAUCAGAUUUUAUUUCAGACUUCCUUAAACAAUUUCAGAAAAUAAUUUCACAUAAAAAUUCUUUUCUCGGGCUUGGGACCUCGAAAUUCGAUCGACUAAAGUCAAAUUUACUCAUUUUAUAAUCAAAACUUAACAUUUUCAUAGGUUUUCAUAUUUAAGCUUUUCGACUACGCACACGGACUGCCCAUGUAAAUCGAGGUGAUGAUACAUGAGGUUUUUGAGGCCUCGGAGACACAAAAUUCAAUUAAAAGCAAGUGAUGACCCUUUGGAUCAUCACAAAGAUAAGAAAUAUAAGAACAAUCAUGAAAGUGACCAUCUUGACCACCACAAAUAUCACACACAUUUCACAUAUAAGAUUGAAAUGCUGCAUAUAAUUUGCUUUCGGGAAUAAUUUGAUAAUUUUUCCAUGGUGAUUUCCUCCACAAUAUGCAUAAGGAGAAUCAAAUGUAGAAUUACCAACAUCAAAACUCUCAUAAUUCCAAAAUGUCAUGUUUCUCAAAUAAACAAAUAAAACCAAAACUAAAAAAUCAAAAUCAAAUACUAAAAAAGUAAAAUAAAAGUUCAAACUUUAAACCUACCAAUAUGUACACCUACAGCUACACAGUUAGUUUUCCGGCAAUGACGUUAAAAUUUGAUCACGCCUAACUAUGACGUAUAAAAAGGAGUAAGCUAUCGUUGCAAAAUAUAAUCCAAUUUACGAGUCCGUAAUCGAAUCCCAUGGAGAAUUAAGGUUUAGCUAUAGUUGUCCAAUAUCGCUAAGAAACACAAGCACAAAUAAUUUCCUAGGUAUAAAGAUUAUAAUGUUUAUUUUUAUCUAAUUAACUAACAAAUACUAGAAAACAGUAAAACUAUCACAUAACAAGGAUAAGGAUUGGAGACAAGAUUAAGGAGGUCCAAAGUUAUGAUUUUCCCAAUUGUCAAAAUCCUUUCCGCUACGUCUUCUAUGAUAUCGCUUAAGUAUUCUCUACCGAUCGUGGGUACUUCAGGUGUCAUAAUUCUCUUCCGAGCAACUACCACAAUUUAGUAGACAUAUUCUUCCGAACUAUGCUAGCUGGCACUAGUUUACGCUCACUAAGAUUGCACCAAGGUCUCGUUAUUCCUAAUCCCACCUUUAAACCUUCGUAUUGAUUUCUCAGAUAUGUCAGGAGUGGUGUUGUUUGACAACUAGCUAAAUAUGUACCCUUUUCCAAGUAAUAUAUACCAAAUAGGCAGAGUCAGUUGAUGACCAUGCAAUCAACAAUAAUAAACACGUAGUUGAACAAGUAGAGAAUCCAACAACUCAAUUAUAUAAAAAUAUAACAAGAAUUUAUCCUACAAAAGGUUCUAUCAAAACUCUAGAUAAUAAAUUAGCUAUUCAUAAUAGUAUGCAUAACUACAAUACUAAAAUUCAUAGCCAAUAGUGAAAAUAGAAAGAAGGAAGUGAAAAACUCGUAGAAGAAUUCUUCAUGCCUUGCUCCUAAUGUGUUCUUGCCUCCUUAGGUCGAACCCCCACCCUCCUCCCAAAAAAAUGGUGUUUAAUAACUAUUUACAUGUGUAGGGAAAAAUCUAAACACAAUAUCAAGCCUAAAACUAAAAAGAAGACAAAAUAAGCUUUAAAACCCGAAACACGCAUCGCCUCGCGACAGACUGCGCCUAGCGUGCUCCAUCUCGCUGCAGCCCUCGCGUUGCCUGCUCUAACGCGAGCUAAAUAGCUCGCUACACCUGCUACUUCAUUUCUCAUUCUUCAAUUUCAUUUUGGAGCUCUUUUGUUUGUGCUAGUUGCUUAACACUCCCAUUUCUUUCUUUUGCAUUCCAAUCUCAUCUCACAUCAAUUUGCACACAUUGUCCUUGAAUAAAUUUGUCUUCAAUCAAUAUCUAAUCAUGAUAUCAUAAUAUUUUCCAUCGUUAAAUAAUCACAAAUCAUUUUUGUAGUACAUAGAAUACACGUAAAACUUUUACUUUAUUUUUAAUUUCAUCUUCAACGUACCUACACAUAAAAUAAUUUUAAUUAAGCAAAAAUAUAAUACAGUUUAACAUUAAAGCACCUAAAUACAAGAUAAGUAAUAUACUAAAAAUAUAUAAUUAUAGCCAAAUAUUAGUAAUCCCACAUUUGGAGUCUAGAAGAAGUAGAUUGUACACAUACUUUAUUCCUACCUUGUGUAAGGUAGACAUGUUUCCGAUAAACCCUCAAUAGCGAAAGUAUGCAUCACUUAAUUAUUAAGUUAUAAAUGUGUGUAUGCAUUCAUCGGAUUAAAAAUUAAUAAGAAUUAACGUAAAUAACCAUCAACCUAAUCGUUUAAACUUAAAAUAGUCCAUGGAUGUAUCAUAAAUGAAUAUCUCUUUCUUUCUCUCUCUCUCUCUCUCUCUCUCUCUCUCUCUCUCUCUAUAUAUAUAUAUAUAUAUNNNNNNNNNNNACAUAUAUAUAUACAUAUAUACAUAUACAUAUACAUAUAUAUAUAUAUAUACAUAUAUACAUAUACAUAUAUAUAUAUAUAUAUAUACAUAUAUAUAAUCGGUGUUAUCUAUGUAUACCUGCUAAGAAAAGUAAUAAAAAAUAUAACUGGCUAUUUGUGUAAAUAUCCCUUAAAUUAAAUAAAAUGCGGGUAAAUUUUAAUCAUUCUUCUCCAUGGAUACACAACAGUAAGGGGUAUUUGCACAUAUAUCUACUUUUAGGGACGCCGUUGAAGUAAUACCUACAAUGCACACAAAUUUGUAAAUUUUACCCAUCGAAAUGUGAAGUAGUUCAAUCUCUUCAAUGCAACUUUAUAUUUCAAAUUUUAGAUUCUGAAACAUAAACUUGUUCGUCGAAUUUCAAUAAUCCAACACAUAAUUCAAUACCUGAAUCUACUCCAAAUAAGCUUAAAUUUGAAACAUAAUUCUCAAAUAUCACCGCAAUCAUCAAAUUAUCAAAAUCAAACCAAAUCUACCAAACACAUUUUGCAACUAAGAAGAAGAGGAAACUACAACCUACAAUAGUGUUUUGCAACUAAGAAGAAGAAGAAACCAAAAGGGCUCCUGGAUACAUGGGAUAUAAAUACAGAGGAGAAGAAAGUAGCAGCAAAGCUCUUGGAUGCACAUGACAUGAAUAUAAAUGUCACGAUCCAAAAUUACCCUAUCGUGAUGGCGCCUGUCGUGAAACUAGGCAAGCCGACUCUUUACCAAAAUCCAUGCGAUAUUUCAUUUUCAUAGAUAAAUUCACACUAUUUGAUAAUUAAAUUUUAUAAAGAACAUCAAAAUAACAAAGUGCGGAAAGAAAAAACCCGACAUCGGGGUAUUACUAACCAUGAGCAUCUAAUAAAAACUGUCUGAUAAUAGUAAGACUAAUAUAGUCAGGAAAGACAACUAAAUACAUCUAUAAGAGGAUAAGAGGGAGAAAAGCGGGGCUGCAAUCACUAUGCAACGACCUUGCUAACUCCAAUAGAUCCGUGACAUAUGAAAUCAACACUCACUAGCACAUCCAGCAAUCCCUGGAUCUGCACACAAGGUGUAGAGAGUAAUGUGAGUAUGCCAACUCAGUAAGUAAUAAAAAUAAAUAAAGAUUGAGCAGUAGUGGCGAGCAGUAAAACACACAAAGUCUACAUUAUGAAAUCUCAGUAAAUAUAACAUUGCUUUCAAAUAAGUAUGUGAAUCAAAUCAUCUCGUUUUUAAAAUUCAGUGUUCAGUAAAUUCAUUUGAAGAUAUUUUUCAACAAUUUCCACGGAGACUCAAUGGAGAAGAGAGUAAAAGUGAUGAAAAUCAUAAGCAAUUCCUCGGGUAAAACAUCACUCGUAAACAACCCAUCAGACAAAACAUCACUCAUAUACAGACUCACGGGUAAGCCUCACAGUCACUCGUAUAUAGCCCCUCGGACAUAUCUUAUAUCACCCAAUCAGGGUACCAGAACUCGCUGGAUAUGUGCAGACUUUGGAGAGGUUCCUACAGCCCAAGCACUAUAACAAGUCACCUCGUGGCAUAAAUCAAUCGGGCUCCCGGCAUUAGAAAAUCAUGAAUCACUAACAACAUACUACGGCGUGCAGCCCGAUCCUAUAAUAUCCUCACAAAAAUAGGACCUUGAUAGGCCACUCGGGUUAUCAGUAAAAAUAGGAUGCUCACCCCAAAAUAACAUUUUAUAUGCAUAAAAAUGGGGUAAUAAAGACUGAGUUAUGAAAUCAGUUAACAUGGCAUGACUGACUAUAGAUUUUCAAUCAAAACAUUGAGAGGAUAAUACGAAAAGGCCCCUAAGGGUCCAAGCAUAUAUGGAACAAGGUCCAAAUAUAGCAUUCAACCCAAUUAGUAGAAAUUCUUUCGAAAACACAUAAGUAUCUUAUAGUUUACGUCAAAUACGUAACUUAUAGUUGCUAUGGGACGGACUAAAUCAUAACCCCCAACAAUGCAUUACCAUACACAUGUUACCUAGCAUGCACAUCACCUCAAAGUAGUAAAACAAUGCAAAAUCUAGGGUUUCAUACCCUUAGGACUAGAUUUACAAUUAUUACUUACCUCAAACCGGUCAAAUCCCUACUCCACGAUGCUCUUGCCUCUCGAAUCAGCUUCCAAAUGCCUCGAAUCUAGCCACAAAUAAUUUGAUACAAUCAACAUGAGCUAAAGAAAUCAAUCCCAUAAGGAAAUGCUAAGCUUUGGGUCAAAAAUAAAAAAGUCAACUCAAAGAAGGCCCUAGGCCCACGUCUCGAAAUCCGACAAAAGUCGCAAAAUCUGACAACCCAUUUGACUAUAAAACUAACUAUAUUAGUUUUACUCAAAUACGAUCACAAAUGAGAUUUCAAUUCCCAAAAUUUUAUUUUAUGAAACUCCACCGAUAUUCCCCUCAAAUUUCCAUCCCAAAUCACGAAUUUAAAUGAUGAAUUCAAUGAUAUAUUCAUGAAUAUUAGCCAAAACCGAGUUAGAAUUAUUUACCCAGAUGAUUUCCUUGAAAACUACCAAAAAUUUGCCUCAAACCGAGCUUCCAAAGUCCAAGAUGUGAAAUAAAACUCUAAACGUUGCUUAUAUAGCCCCAUAACCUCCACUAUGCAGUCCGCAUAAUUCCAUUGCGGCCGCACACUUCUCACCACGAUCCGAGUUAAUCCUGCCGCGGCCGCUCCCUGAGCCUUGCCUUGCGCGGUCCACAUAAAUACACCCCGGCCGCAUUCCUUCUCGCGCGGCCACUGAAUGCCUCCGCGGAUGCCAAUUUUGUGCGACGCACUUCCUAUACCAGACACAGCUGACACCAGGAAUCUGCAACUUUUAAAGCUAAAUUUGAUCCCUUAACCACUUGAAACUCAACCUUGGCCCUCGGGACCUCAACCAAACAUACCAACGCAUCCCAUAACAUCAUUCAAACUUAGUCGAAACUUUGAAUCACUUAAGACAACAUCAAAAUACAAAAUUACCAUCGAAUACAAGACUAAGAAUAUCCAAAUUUCUAAAUUUCACAAAUGGCGUCAAAACCUAUCAAAUCACGUCGAAUGGACCCAAAUUUUGCAUACACUUCACAAAUGACACUACGAACCUACUCCAACUUCUGAAAUUCUAUUCUGACCCUGAUAUCAAAUUUUCCAUUGCCGACCAAAAUCGUCGAACUUUCAACUUUCGCCAAUUCAUGCCUAAUUCUACCACAUAUCUCCAAAUCACAUUCUGGACGCGCUUCUACGACGAAAAUCACCUAACGGAGCUAACGAAACCAUCAAAAUUCAAAUCUGAAGUCAUUUGCACAUAAGUCAACAUCCGGUCAACUUUCCCAACUUAACCCUUCACAAAAGAGACUAAGUAUCUCAAUUUACUCCAAAACUAGUUUGAACCCGAACCAAUUAAUGCGAUAUGAUCAAAUAUAGCUGAAGAACAUAAAAGGAAGCAGAAAUGGGGGAAAUGAGGCUAUGUCUUACGAAACGAUCGGCCGGGUCGUUACAAUAAAGAAGAAGAAACAACAACGAAAAAAAUAUAUAUCUGAAGUUACCCACAAAUUAAAUAUCAGUUAAACUUCUCUAAAAAUAUAUACAUAUUAACCAAAUAGGAUGCCUCUGAGAAAAUUUUACAUUUGUUACAUGCAAACGUAGUAACUUAAAACAAAUAUUGGACAUUAUUGUGGGCCUUUUGGCUAUAAAUAAUAUUUAUUAGUAUUUAAAUUUUAAACUUCGAUUUUCAUAAUCUACUGCAUCGUCAGUAUGUGUUCUAUCAAACUUCAAUAUUUCAAAUAUUGAAAUGCUUUUGAGGAGUAUUUUAAAUGAAAUAAAUUUUUAAUUUUAUUUUUUCAAGUUAAGUUAUGCCAAACACAAACAUUCCAACUUUCACGAACUUGAUUUUCUCCCCUCUAAAUUCAACCGCAAAUAUUCCUUUUUUGCAACUUCAAUCUAAUAUUUAUUAAAACAACUUUAACAUCUACCAUUUAUUUGUAGUUAUUAUUGCAGAAAGAAAAUGCAUCUAAUAAAGGAUUGACGGGGAAUAACCUCGCAGUAGUUUAGCUCUUUUAAGUGAAAAAGAAUAAGAAUCUCAUCAUUUCUCUUAAAGUUAAAGGUAAAAAACGCAAAAAGAAGUGAUGCAUAUUAAGAAAUUAAAUCAAAAUAACAAUAUGAAACACGAAAACAGAUAAGAAUAUAAAGCGCAAAAAAUAAGAACUUUUUAUUUCUUUCAAGUAUUUCAAGUGUGUAUAAUGUGAUGCCCCAAUCCUCUAUUUAUAACAUAAUAUAAGUAAUACAAAGGGAUAUCAUGAACAUAAAUAAAAAGUAGUGAGAGGUUAAUGGAAAAGAAUAGUGAUUACUCCCUUAAGAGUUAUAAACAUUCACCAUAUUUAAGUAUUUCAUAACAAUACAUUUCUUUUUCCUCUUCAACUUUCACUCCAAAAAUAUUUUCACUUUCUCUCUCUUAAAAAUUCAAUUAUUAAGUCAAUAUGAUCUGAAAUUACUACAACAGUAAUGUGACAAAUUCAACUUUCGAAAAUAAGGGGUCAUAAUGACCUUUACUUGCAAAAAAUAUGUGAAAGUUAAGAUUUGAGAGGGCAACCCAUUAUUUCACUAGAAAUAUUCUUUUAACAAAUAUUUCAAUAUUUUAUUAAUAUUAUAUUUAACUUUAUUAGUUCCAAAUACUAAUUCGUGCUAUCAAAAAUUAAAAAACGCUGAAUUUCAGUGUUCGAAAUACUGAAAUAUUAUUUUGAUGGCCAAUGGUGCUAGAAUUGACUAAUUAUUAAAAAAUUACCAAAUAAAUGCCGUAUAAUAAUUUUAAAGUGUUAAUUAAAAGAACUUUAGGAUUGAAAAAUACCAGAUUUUAUAGAAAAAAUAAAUAACGACCAAAAAAUUAGGAUUAGAUUUUAGAUUGAAUAUUGGUCUGAUUUCCAUAUUUAAUGGCCUUAGAUAGAGAUGGACCUUUCUAUCAAAUUCUAUGCAUCAAAAACUAAUUCAUGAUUCCCACUUAAAAUGCUAAUUAAUUCCCUUAUUUCCUUUUUUUAUUUAAACCUCUUCUCCUCGCUCGUUAGCUUGUAGAAUAUUAAUUUAGCUAGUUAUGAAAUAACAUGAUAGAACAAGAGGAAGAAAAAAAAUAUGCAAUGCAUCUGAGUUGAAUUUGAAUAGAUGAAAGUCAUUAAUAUUUUUAAAUUAUUAGUCCAAAUUUCAAAUCCGAAAGUAAAAGUACGUAACUAUAAUCAAAUAUCAUAUCUUUACAUUAGAAUUUGAAUGACAACGGUGGUAUAAAGUUUUUGAAUUAAAUAGUCUUCUAGAUAGAUUUUGAAAUGUGAAAUAACUUAGCCUCCCAAAGCAAAACUGAAAUUUUAUUAAGAAUAAUUGAAUUUUGAAUGUGCUUUAAAAAUCACUUAUUUGCUUUUUAAACUAAAGACACAUAAUUCGUUUUGACAAAAUGUUACAUGCACUCCAACUUCAACUUCAACUUCAAACACUUUUUUGCGUUAAAGUGACUACUAAAACUUCGAACUUUGUCGUAAUAUUUGAUGUAAAAUCUCCAAUUAGUUACAUAUUUUUGCAUGAUGUAUUUUUUCCCUCUCCGUUUAUUAAGACUAUAUUUUAUAUCUUAUUACUAAUAACAUGUUAAGACUCAAGCCUGUGUCAUGUAUUGUUGAACUUGUCUAACAGCUUGUUUAGAUUGUUGUUACAUGCCGUUUCACAAUAUAUCGUAUUGUAUUGUACUGCAUUGUAUUGUAUCGUAUUGUAUCAUGAAUAUAACGUUUGGAUAGAUUGUAGCGUUUCCUCUCAUUUCAUAAAGUCAUGCACCAACAAUAUAAAGAAUAAACUUGCAAUAUUACUAAAAAAAGAUCGGAUAUAAAGUAGAAUUGUUAUACAAAAAAGUAGGACAAACGAUAAAAUAUGAUUAUUUAAUAAUAAAGAAUGGCAAGAUGAGGGAUGGAAAAUCAAGGUAACUAUUAAGAUACUACUAUUCAUUUUAUCUUUGUAAUUGUAUAAUUGUAUGCUGAGUCAUCAAUAGUUAAUAUUAGUUAGGUGUUUAGUCAGAUGUCACAUAUAUAUAUAUAUAUACUGAACAAUUACAAUGUACACUUAGUUGAGAUUCAUUUUUUACAUUUUAUCAGAUCCUUCAUCAUCUCUCUCUUUCUCUCUCCACGAGUUUCUUCUAGAAGCUUCAAAGACCUCCAUUGAAGGAGGUUCGGAGCUUGAUUCUCUUCUCAAAUCUUGACAUCGUAUUAGAGCAAAGGUUCGAUUGAUGACCACGACCACACCCUCUCUCGUUCUUCUAUUCUCUGAUCACUAAACAAUCUAGGGUUCUCUUUUCCCUCAUCAGUCAGAAUUUGGGAAAAACCUAAAAUCGGAUACAUGCAGUGACAAUUUGUUGACAAAUAGGGAAAAUCUCAACUACGCGAGUUUUAAUUCAAGUGAUUUCACAAAGUUCCUAUGGAAAUCACAGAGUAAAUUGACAAAAUGACUACACUGGCGGCAACUCAGACGGUAAUUGAUGUCGGUAGCCCUCUCUACAUACAUCCUUUAGAUAAUCCUGGUUCCUCACUGCUUCCAGUUCCAUUCUAUGGAAUUAGAUAUCAUUCCUGGAGAAGAAAUGUACUCAGGGCCCUUUCAGUGAAAAACAAGUUAGGGUUUAUCAACGGAGAUAGUGGAAGACCUAAUGUGAUGUGUCCACAUUUUCGUCAAUGGGAAAUGUAUGAAGACAUGAUCACCUCAUGGAUCUUAAAUUUUUUGUCAAGGACAUUGCUGAGAGUAUUGAAUAUGUGAAUGAUUCUGUUGACCUGCAGAAGGGAUUGGAGGAUUGAUAUGAUCAAACGAACGGAGCUAAACUCUAUCAAAUUCAGAAAGAGAUCAAUGACUUGAGUCAGGGAGUACUUGAUGUCACAUCUACUACACAAAAAUUACGAAACUCUGGGAAGAAUUAAACACUCAAAGCAUCAAGACUCACUGUAGUUGUGUAUGUAUCUGUGGGGAGAAGGAAAGUAUGCAUAAGGCAUAAGAAGACAAAAGACUAUACAAUUUCUAAUGGGACUCAAUAAAGUCUAUACGGUGGUUCGAGAAAGUAUACACAUGAUGAACCCCUUGCUGUCUAUCGCACAGGCUUUUACUCUCAUGAUACAAAAGGAGAAACAGAGGGAGUUCAAACUAAGAAAUCAACUAAGUAUUGAUUCCACAUCAUUGAACGUCAACCUAGGAGGAAGAAACUUCAAAACAAACUACUCAACUAGGAUUGGAAAUCAAAUUGGAGGUAGUAGACCCCGACCUUUUUGUGACUACUGCAAACGACAAGGUCACACUGAGGACAAGUGGUAUAAAUUUCAUGGGUACCCACAUGGAUUCAAUCAAGGACCACAACAGUACAAGCAGAGUUCUUAGGGAUAUAAUAACAAUGCAAGGGUUUAACAAAGGAGGGAGUGCCUUGACACAGGAAUUUGAAGCCUUGUAUGCUAAUAACACAUGGGAUUUAGUCCCCUUGCCUAAGGAAAACAAGCUAUUGGAUGUAGAUGGGUAUAUAAAGUCAAACAUAUAGCAGAUGAUAGUGUAGAGAGAAACAAGGCAAGGUUAGUGGUAAAAGGGUACACCCAACAAGCUGGGGUAGACUACAUAGAGGCUUUCUCUCUUGUAGUCAAGAUGACCACUGUCAGGUCACUUGUUGCCAUAGCAACAAAGAAGAAAUGGAAAAUCUCUCAACUGGAUGUGAAAAAUGUAUUUCUCCAUAGAGAUUUGCAUGAGGAGGUAUAUAUGCAAGCUCCUCCAGGCCUUGAGAGGCAGUCUCCCGGCUUGGUUUGCAGACUGAACCAGUCCCUAUAAGGACUGAAACAAGCAAGCAGGCAACGAUAUGAUAAAUUGACCAAAGUCUUGUAUUCAAGGGGGUAUACACACUCUAUGUAUGACUACUCUUUGUUCUACAGAGAACAAGGUUCUUCUAUUAUUUUUAUAGCAGUGUAUAUAGAUGAUGUGCUGCUUACAGGGACCAACUUAUAGGAAAUCAGUAGCUCAAGGCCUUCCUUCAUGACAAGUUCAGAAUUAAAGACUAAGAUCAGCUGCAUUAAUUCCUGGGAUUAGAAAUUCUAUAUAAACCAGAUGGUAUGAUCAUUUCACAAAGAAAAUUUAUUUGGACCUAUUGAGGGAAUAUGAGUACCUUCAUUCCCCAGCAUUGACAUCUCCUUUGGACCCUGCAAUAAAGUUGAAAGCAAAAGAAGGGGCUCUAUUGUCUGAUCCUACCUUUUAUAGAAAGCAAAUUGGAAAGCUAAAUUUUCUCCCAAAUACUAGAUUAGACAUAGCAUAUGGGGUCCAACAUCUCAGCCAAUUCAUGCAAGAUCCUAAGGAGCCUCACUUAUAGGCGGCCUACCACAUGAUGACAUACUUAAAGAAGGAUCCUAUCCUAGGACUAUACUUCAGCAGUUCAUAUGAUCUCUCACUAGUUGCUUAUUGUGAUUCUGAUUGGGCAACUUGCUCAUAUUCUAGAAGAUCAGUAUCUGGAUAUGUUGUGUUCUUAGGAGGCAGCACCAUCAGUUGGAAAUCCAAGAAACAAGAAAUCAUCUCUCUCUUUUCAGUAGAGGCAUAAUACAGAGCACUUAGAAAGGUUGUUGGGGAACUUGUUUGGCUAUCAAGGCUACUUGAAGAACUUACUGUGCCAAUUUGUGUGCCAAUACCUAUGCACUGUGAUAACUUAUCUGCACUACAUAUUGCUAGGAACCCUGUGUUGCAUGAACGGACUAAGCACAUUGAAGUAGAUUGUCACUUUGUACGUACUAAACUCCAGGAAGGACUCAUUUCUCUGCACCACAUUGGCACUGGACAACAACUGUCAGAUAUGCUUACCAAAGCUCUCGCUGGGGUCAAAAACUGCUCUGUUCUUGACAAGUUGGGUGUGAUUUCAUCACAUCCCACUUAAGGGGGGGGGGGGGUAUUGAGAUACUACUAUUUAUUUUAUCUUUGUAAUUAUAAUUGUAUAAUUGUAUGCGGAGUCAACAAUAGUUAGUAUUAGUUAGGUAUUUAGUCAGAUGUCACAUGUAUAUAUAUAUAUAUAUUGAACAAUACAUUAUACACUAAGAUGAGAUUCAUUUUUUUACAUUUUAUCAGAUCCUUCAGCAUCUCUCUCUUCCUCUCUCCACGAGUUUCUUCUAGAAGCUUCAGAAACCUCCAUUGAAGGGGGUCUAAAGCUCAAUUCUCUUCUAAAAUCUCAACAAUAACGACUCCAACAUAUCGAAUCUGUCGUGUCAUAAAGUAACACUUUUCGUCAAUACAAUAAAAUUUAAAUAACAAUCAAAACAAAUAUUGUAGUUAAGUAACAAUCCGAUACAAUACAAUACAAUAUGUAGCAACCAUCCAAACAAGCUGUAAGGUGACAUGUGCACUUAUUCUUCAAAUACCCUGCUAGAAGCUCCGUUAUAUUAUCAGCUUUGGCCCAAUAAAACUUACGGAUUUGUCACUUGGUCUACACCGUUAUCGGGUUCAAAGUGCGUAUACCAUGACUCAUGUAAAUUUGCAGUAUACCUCUAUAAAUUUAUUUACUUUCCUCUUUCAUUCCGAUGUAAAAUUCAAAUAAGGUGAUAUAUGCAUCCAUUUUUGAGAAGUUACCGGUCAAGAAACAUGUCACUCUUAUUGACCCGUUCUUCAUCAUGUGUGUCACAUUAAAUUUCAGACAUCUGUACUAAAUAUGUAUUCUCCAAUGACAACUGAAAAAAUUGAUAAAGAAAAGACAAACAAAAAAAAAAAGAUAGUAAUAUCACGCAUUGCGAAAGGUAAUGAAGUUAUUGUUUAAUCAACCCAUAAGAAGUUCCUAUUGGGAUUGCAAGGAAAAACGAGUCAGGUCCCAACUAGCCAUAUAUUUUGAAUACACGAAAACGAAAUAAUUGAAUUAAUUUAAUAGAUAAAAAUAAUGACAAAGAAAUUCCAACAAAAAUUCAAGAACAACAAGAGUUAAGACCUUAUUCGAACAUAUAUAAUAAUUAGUAUAUCAACCAAUCACCUCGAACAAGAAUGAUUAAGAACCAGAGAACGGUGUACAUAAGCCGUAUUAGUUCGGAUUGACUGGGCUGCAUUGUCGUACCUUCAUACCUUCGCCCCGAUGUCCUGUCUUAAGGUUCCCCCGAGCUACUUUAUUAAAGCAGACUUUUGCUCAUCGUCUGCGUCUUUAGUCGAAAGCUAUUUCUUUUAUGAUUCCUUCUCUCACUUGAAGACUUUCAAUUACCAAACCAAACUAAUUAUAUUAGAUUAUUAAUUUUAAAGACCAAAUCAAACCAAUAAAACUCGGGUUUUCAAUCUCAAUUUUUCUUGGGUUUUCGGUUUUUCCGGGGUUUUUUUUCCGGUAAAAUCUUCGUAGGACAACAUAUAAUUUGUGCUCAAAAUAUUUCUUUAAUCAUAGUAAAAGUUAACUAUAUAAGGUAUUUCCAAAAAAAUAAUACAAAAUAUGAAAUGUAUCAUGGUAUUAUUCUAAAAUAUUCAACAUAAAGACAAUCACAUUAGGUAAUGUAAAUAUUGCUAAUUAAAAACCCAUAAUAAAUAUAAACAUAAUCAAAAAGCACUAAGUCAUGCUAAAAUAAGUAGACUAAUAAGGGAGUAUUAAUUACAUGACUAAACGCUAAAAAAAUAAGUUAUGCAUUUUUAUCUAAAUGAUUACAAAAAAAGAAAAUAAAUAUUCAAUACAUUGUCAUUCGUAGUAUUGAAUUGAAUAUCUUUUGUUAGCAUAAAUAUUGAUUUAAUCUUGGUUUGGGCUUUUGUUAGCAUUAUUUAAGUUAUUAAUAUUAAUAUAUGUAAAACUUAUUAAAACAUUUAAAAGUUCUAAGUCCUAACCGUAAAAGAAUACCUUAAAACAUAAGAUUAUGAAAAAGUUUAAGAAUAUAUUUAUAAAUUACAGCACAAUAAGUAUAUUUAUAUAUUAAAUAUAUCUAACGUUCUAUAUAUGUAAUGUUGGGUUGGUUUGGUUUCGGUUUGACUUUCUUUAGUUAAAACCAAAUCAAACCAGAUCAAUUAUGGUCGGAUUUUUUUCACCGUCAAACCAUAAUUGUGUUUUUUCCUCGGUUUGACUCGAAUUGUCGAGUUGGUGUGGUUUAUCGGUUUCGUUUAUACACCCAUAUCCAGAGAUAAAAGUAUUAAAAAGGAAAAUAAUUACCAUCAAGAAUCAUAUCUGAAAGUAAUUCCGAAAUUCAAUUAAAACGAUAAAUUUUUUUACUUCUCAAGAUGUUUAUCAAUCUUGUUAAGAAUAGAAUUCUAUUUGGAGUGAAUGUCUAUCUUGUAGAGAGUUUUACUUUGAGGCUAAAUCAUUUUUCCUCCUAUAAAUAGAGGGGUCUUACCCCAUUGUAAAUCACCCCAAAAUUCAAUAAGAAUUUUCUCUAUCUCUUUUUCUGUAAUAUUGUUCUUGUUCUUUUAUUGUUUCAUAACACGUUAUCAGCACGAGACUCUACCGUCUCAAGAAGUUCUAUUUCAAAAGCUCCCUCAUGGACUCUCCUCGGAUUUGACCGAAAACCAGUCUUAAGAAGUAAAAGAAAAACAGAGAAAGGAGAACUCUCAUUCUUCUUCUCUUUCAAAGUCACAACAACCAUUUAAUCUUGGAAAAAUCAGAAAAAUCCUCUAAUCUCCAUUGUUACUCUCUUGGGCAAAAGAGGACUCAUCAACGACCAGCUAAACCAGUUGUCCCUGCCUCCAACUCAACCCGCAAAACUGCUGCGUCCAGUUCCGCUGGAAACCAGCAACCACCCGUGUCUGCUUCUGACUCGUCCAGCAACAGACUACCCCCACUGAUUCAUCCCCUCGUCGUCAUGCCGCCAUAGUAACGACGAAACAAACUCCAGCCUACUGUCACGCCAUUGACGUCUCAAAUGACGACCUUCGUCGUCGACCACCCAUAAGCUUCUAAACUAGACCACCACCACUUCACCA
Molecule: long non-coding RNA, 32874 nt
Filed under: Nicotiana benthamiana
Lineage: Eukaryota; Viridiplantae; Streptophyta; Magnoliopsida; Solanales; Solanaceae
Description: long non-coding RNA (NBEN_LNC034145)
Source: RNAcentral